AAUCAACGCUGGCGGCGUGCCUCAGACAUGCAAGUCGAACGCGAAAGUUUCCUUCGGGGGACGAAGUAGAGUGGCGCACGGGUGAGUAACACGUAGGUAAUCUACCUUUGGUAGUGGGAAGUAACAACCGGAAACGGUUGCUAAUACCGCAUAAUGCAGCGGCACCUAAUGGUGACAGUUGUUAAAGCGGGGGAGUCAAAGACCUCGCGUCUGAAGAGGAGCCUGCGGCGGAUUAG
Molecule: ribosomal RNA, 236 nt
Filed under: uncultured bacterium
Lineage: Bacteria
Description: partial 16S ribosomal RNA
Rfam family: Bacterial small subunit ribosomal RNA
Source: RNAcentral